UUAUAUAUUUUAGUCUUAAUAUCAACUGGUUGACUUUUCCUCGUUUCUUCCAUCCUCCUAUUUGGACGCAUGUAUCUCCACAAAUUUUGUUUCAUUUUCCCUUCUCUCCAAAACUCCAAAGCUGAGGUGAACCUUCAAAUAACUUUUAUUCCUUGCUUUCAGUGCUUGGAUGUAAUGUUCAUUGGUGAGUACUUCACUUAUUUUCUUCUCCUUUCUUGGCUAACCCUCUCUAACCAUGUUUAAUGCUUUGAUUUUAGUCAAUGAAAAUCUUAGUUGGUGGUGCUAUACAUAUAUGUUGCUUCCAUUCGAGAAGACUGCUCCAAGAUUCUUUAUUUUCUCCAUCCAAAGGCUUCACAACUUGUUUGCUUCUUGGUUAAGGGAAGAUUUCCGAUUCUACAUGAAAAUAUUUUGUGUUGAAUAUGAGCAUAUAUAUGAUACUUUGCCUGAAGUUGCAUGAUUUGAUUCUCUCGUGAUUAUAUAUUUUUGCACUGAGUUUUGAAAGGCCAAACUAUUUUUCUCUAAAUUUUUUAUAUUUCUUAAUUCUAUGCUCUUUUUAUGAAUUUUAUUGAAUUUCUCUGGCUUAAAAUAAAUAUUUACUUUGCAAAAGUAUUGGCUGAAAGUCCAGUUUCCGCAAAUCUGAGAAACUUGAGAAGUUGUAUGGAAUGCAUUUAGUUACAAUUAAAAUUAAAACCUAAACAGUUAAUAAAAUUAAAAUUGUUUAUAUGAACAAUUGUACAUAGGCAUUUCAUUUUUUUUCUUACGUAUUUAACACUAUUAAAAAUAUAUUUUAUUUUUCAAUAUAAAAUAAUUUAAGAAAAAUAAGUAAAUAUAUUAGGUUUUUUAUGUGUGGAAUAGAUGUAGUUUCGUAAGAAAUUCGUGGAAAUUGAAGAACUUGAAGGAUAUAACAACCUAUGUAGCAUUGGUAUCAUACAACAGCCGACAAAAGAAAAACACCAAUUAAGACAUGGUCCAACACAGAAAACAAAUGACCAAUCAGAAUUUUGAAAAGACAAAUGAAAAUGCGAGGAAGAACAUGUGGUUCUCAUAGGUUCGUACUGUACACCAUUAUCCAAACAAAUAAAUUAACCUUCCAACAAUCAUUGAAGUCUUUUACAGUUUUUUUUUUCUCUUUCCUAACUUGUUUUAAGUGUCUAGGACUAGAGCAAGGAUUGGCUUAAGUUUCAAAAAAAAUUAUCUUGUUAUCUAGUGUAAAAACAUUCCCAAUAAGAGUACUGGUUGUCGGGGACAGUGACGGUGGUGACUCUGUGUAGCGGAAUAGAAUUUCAAAAUCAGAAGGGUUUAAUAUCAAGGAGAAAAAAAAAGACUUAUUUUAUUAUUAUUAAUGAUGAAAAAUGUAUUUUUAUAUUCUUUAUUUGUAAUAAUCUAGUUCUUUUAAAAAGAAAAAUAGAUAAAUUAGG
Molecule: long non-coding RNA, 1418 nt
Filed under: Vigna radiata
Lineage: Eukaryota; Viridiplantae; Streptophyta; Magnoliopsida; Fabales; Fabaceae
Description: long non-coding RNA (VRAD_LNC017389)
Source: RNAcentral